Vicia faba (fava bean) is the source of this 300-nucleotide non-coding RNA. Lineage: Eukaryota; Viridiplantae; Streptophyta; Magnoliopsida; Fabales; Fabaceae. The record is from the annotation of a GenBank genome assembly.
AUGCAAACUAAGAGCCGUGAGAUCUCUGCUUCAACACUUCAGAGGAAUCCGUUUUCUCUGAUCGGAAUCUGGAAUCGACGAAUCGGAAUGGGUUUCUUGAUAACGACACUAAUCUUCGUGGUGGUUGGAUUCAUCGCGUGCCUCUGCACCAGAAUUUGCUGCAAUAGAGGACCUUCUGCUAAUCUAUUUCACUUGACUCUGGUUACUACUGCAACAGUAUGCUGCUGGAUGAUGUGGGCGAUUGUAUACCUGGCACAAAUGAAACCGCUCAUAGUACCUAUACUAAGUGAAGGCGAAUAA